CAGCCGCCGCGGUAAUACGUAGGGGGCGAGCGUUACCCGGAUUCACUGGGCGUAAAGGGGGUGUAGGCGGCUCGGUAAGUCGGGUGUGAAAUCCCACGGCUCAACCGUGGAAUUGCGCCCGAAACUGCCGAGCUUGGGGCCGGUAGAGGGAGACGGAACUGCCGGUGUAGGGGUGAAAUCCGUAGAUAUCGGCAGGAACGCCGGUGGGGAAGCCGGUCUCCUGGGCCGUGCCCGACGCUGAGGCCCGAAAGCUAGGGGAGCAAACCGGAUUAGAUACCCGGGUAGUCCUAGCCGUAAACGAUGCCCACUAGGUGUGGGGGAGUAUUUCCUCCGUGCUGUAGCUAACGCGUUAAGUGGGCCGCCUGGGGAGUACGCCCGCAAGGGUGAAACUUAAAGGAAUUGGCGGG
Molecule: ribosomal RNA, 407 nt
Filed under: uncultured microorganism
Description: bacterial SSU rRNA
Rfam family: Bacterial small subunit ribosomal RNA
Source: RNAcentral